GACGAACGCUGGCGGCGUGCUUAAUACAUGCAAGUCAACGAUAACCAGAGUGCUUGCAUUCUGGGGAAAGUGGCGCACGGGUGCGUAACGCGUAGAUAAUCUGCCCUUAGGUCUGACAUAACUCCGGGAAACCGGGGCUAAUAUCAGAUAAAAUGAUGGCUCGGCAUCGAGACCAUCAUCAAAUCUUCGGAGCCCAAGGAUGAAUCUGCGUCCCAUAGGUAGUUGGUGAGGUAAUGCUCACCAAGCCUUCGAUGGGUAGCUGGUCUGAGAGGAUGAUCAGCCACACUGGAACUGAGACACGGUCCAGACUCCGUACGGGAGCAGCAGUAAGGAAUUAUUGCACAAUGGCCGAAGGCUGAUGCAGCAACGCCGCGUGGA
RNAcentral lists this ribosomal RNA (378 nucleotides) under uncultured bacterium. Its description in RNAcentral is "bacterial SSU rRNA". It matches the Rfam family "Bacterial small subunit ribosomal RNA", at positions 28 to 405 of the family's 1533-position model. The record is from RNAcentral.